GAUGAACGCUGGCGGCGUGCCUAAUACAUGCAAGUCGAGCGGACGGACGAGGAGCUUGCUUCUCUUAUGUUAGCGGCGGACGGGUGAGUAACACGUGGAUGACCUACCUAUAAGACUGGGAUAACUUCGGGAAACCGGAGCUAAUACCGGAUAAGAUUUUGAACCUCAUGGUUCAAAAGUGAAAAACGGUCUUGCUGUCACUUAUAGAUGGAUCCGCGCUGCAUUAGCUAGUUGGUAAGGUAACGGCUUACCAAGGCAACGAUGCAUAGCCGACCUGAGAGGGUGAUCGGCCACACUGGAACUGAGACACGGUCCAGACUCCUACGGGAGGCAGCAGUAGGGAAUCUUCCGCAAUGGGCGAAAGCCUGACGGAGCAACGCCGCGUGAGUGAUGAAGGUCUUCGGAUCGUAAAACUCUGUUAUUAGGGAAGAACAUAUGUGUAAGUAACUGUGCACAUCUUGACGGUACCUAAUCAGAAAGCCACGGCUAACUACGUG
Molecule: ribosomal RNA, 497 nt
Filed under: uncultured bacterium
Lineage: Bacteria
Description: partial 16S ribosomal RNA
Rfam family: Bacterial small subunit ribosomal RNA
Source: RNAcentral